Long non-coding RNA from Brassica oleracea var. oleracea, 515 nucleotides. RefSeq lists it as uncharacterized. The transcript is spliced from 3 exons. The record is from RefSeq and is a predicted model, not a curated record. NCBI's taxonomy places the organism in Eukaryota, Viridiplantae, Streptophyta, Magnoliopsida, Brassicales, Brassicaceae.
UCUGAGAGGAAUAUUUGAAACACAUCCAGAUAUUGCAGUAGAGUUUCGUGCAAAGAACCAAUAUAUGAGGACAUCAUGCAUGAACUUCUUGCUCAGUCUUAGCGAGAUGUUUUCCAAAUCAGUUCAGGAGCUCUCUAAUGAGGACCUGGUGGAAGCGAGCAUUGCGCUGACAUACUUGAAACAUGUGGGGUUUAAGCUGGAUUGGUUGGAGAAGAGUGUGGACCAAGUCAAAGAACAUAACGUUAAGGGGUUCUCAGUACAAGAGUCUCCUCCAUAAAUUGUCUUAAUUUGGGAUGAAGAAGAAGAAGCCGAUCGAAGAAGAAGAAGAAAUCAGAUCCUUCUCAGAACUAUUAACGGCGGCGUAAAACGUUCAUGUUCCCAAAGCAGUACUGAAACGAUUCGCCUUCCUCCUCGACGUAUUAAAAACGAUUUGCAUUCUCUCUCUUUCUUGAAUCCUCCUCUUAAUUAAGGGUAGGACGAUCUCCAAUAGAACACCAAAACUUCUUUUAUAUUUU